RNAcentral lists this ribosomal RNA (229 nucleotides) under uncultured bacterium. RNAcentral's name for it is "partial 16S ribosomal RNA". It matches the Rfam family "Bacterial small subunit ribosomal RNA", at positions 121 to 334 of the family's 1533-position model. The record is from RNAcentral.
UCAACCUGCCCUUCAGAGGGGGACAACAGUUAGAAACGACUGCUAAUACCGCAUACGAUCUAAUCUCGGCAUCGAGGAUAGAUGAAAGGUGGCCUCUACAUGUAAGCUAUCACUGAAGGAGGGGAUUGCGUCUGAUUAGCUAGUUGGAGGGGUAACGGCCCACCAAGGCGACGAUACAUAGGGGGACUGAGAGGUUAACCCCCCACACUGGUACUGAGACACGGACCAG